UACGGGGGGGGCAAGCGUUGUUCGGAAUUACUGGGCGUAAAGGGCUCGUAGGCGGCCAACUAAGUCGGACGUGAAAUCCCUCAGCUUAACUGGGGAACUGCGUCCGAUACUGGAUGGCUUGGAUUUGGGAGAGGGAUGCGGAAUUCCAGGUGUAGCGGUGAAAUGCGUAGAUAUCUGGAGGAACACCGGUGGCGAAGGCGGCAUCCUGGACCAAUAUUGACGCUGAGGAGCGAAAGCGUGGGGAGCGAACAGG
RNAcentral lists this ribosomal RNA (253 nucleotides) under uncultured bacterium. RNAcentral's name for it is "partial 16S ribosomal RNA". It matches the Rfam family "Bacterial small subunit ribosomal RNA", at positions 524 to 776 of the family's 1533-position model. The record is from RNAcentral.